Molecule: ribosomal RNA, 253 nt
Filed under: uncultured bacterium
Lineage: Bacteria
Description: partial 16S ribosomal RNA
Rfam family: Bacterial small subunit ribosomal RNA
Source: RNAcentral
UACGAAGGGUGCAAGCGUUACUCGGAAUUACUGGGCGUAAAGCGUGCGUAGGUGGUGCGUUAAGUCUGUCGUGAAAGCCCCGGGCUCAACCUGGGAAUGGCGAUGGAUACUGGCGCGCUAGAGUGCGGUAGAGGAGAGUGGAAUUCCCGGUGUAGCAGUGAAAUGCGUAGAGAUCGGGAGGAACAUCAGUUGCGAAGGCGGCUCUCUGGACCAGCACUGACACUGUGGCACGAAAGCGUGGGGAGCAAACAGG